Molecule: ribosomal RNA, 624 nt
Filed under: Vibrio sp. Do-196
Lineage: Bacteria; Pseudomonadati; Pseudomonadota; Gammaproteobacteria; Vibrionales; Vibrionaceae
Description: bacterial SSU rRNA
Rfam family: Bacterial small subunit ribosomal RNA
Source: RNAcentral
GAAUGCAGCCAUGCCGCGUGUAUGAAGAAGGCCUUCGGGUUGUAAAGUACUUUCAGCAGUGAGGAAGGGGKGGWCGUUAAUAGCGGGCMUYUUUGACGUUAGCUGCAGAAGAAGCACCGGCUAACUCCGUGCCAGCAGCCGCGGUAAUACGGAGGGUGCGAGCGUUAAUCGGAAUUACUGGGCGUAAAGCGCAUGCAGGUGGUUCGUUAAGUCAGAUGUGAAAGCCCGGGGCUCAACCUCGGAAYUGCAUUUGAAACUGGCUCACUAGAGUACUGUAGAGGGGGGUAGAAUUUCAGGUGUAGCGGUGAAAUGCGUAGAGAUCUGAAGGAAUACCAGUGGCGAAGGCGGCCCCCUGGACAGAUACUGACACUCAGAUGCGAAAGCGUGGGGAGCAAACAGGAUUAGAUACCCUGGUAGUCCACGCCGUAAACGAUGUCUACUUGGAGGUUGUGGCCUUGAGCCGUGGCUUUCGGAGCUAACGCGUUAAGUAGACCGCCUGGGGAGUACGGUCGCAAGAUUAAAACUCAAAUGAAUUGACGGGGGCCCGCACAAGCGGUGGAGCAUGUGGUUUAAUUCGAUGCAACGCGAAGAACCUUACCUACUCUUGACAUCCCAGAGAACUUU